ACUCAAAUGAAUUGACGGGGGCCCGCACAAGCGGUGGAGCAUGUGGUUCAAUUCGACGCAACGCGAAGAACCUUACCCAGGCUUGAACAGCGAGUGACCACUCCUGAAAAGGAGCUUCCGCAAGGACACUCGUAGAGGUGCUGCAUGGCUGUCGUCAGCUCGUGUCGUGAGAUGUUGGGUUAAGUCCCGCAACGAGCGCAACCCUUGUUUGCUGUUGCCAUCAGGUUAUGCUGGGCACUCUGCAAAGACUGCCGGUGAUAAACCGGAGGAAGGUGGGGAUGACGUCAAGUCAGCAUGGCCUUUAUGUCUGGGGCUACACACGUGCUACAAUGGCCGGUACAAACCGUUGCAAACUCGCGAGGGUGAGCUAAUCGGAGAAAGCCGGUCUCAGUUCGGAUCGUAGGCUGCAACUCGCCUGCGUGAAGUUGGAAUCGCUAGUAAUCGCGGAUCAGCACGCCGCGGUGAAUACGUUCCCGGGCCUUGUACACACCGCCCGU
Molecule: ribosomal RNA, 497 nt
Filed under: uncultured bacterium
Lineage: Bacteria
Description: partial 16S ribosomal RNA
Rfam family: Bacterial small subunit ribosomal RNA
Source: RNAcentral